Carassius auratus (goldfish) is the source of this 2509-nucleotide long non-coding RNA. RefSeq lists it as uncharacterized. NCBI's taxonomy places the organism in Eukaryota, Metazoa, Chordata, Actinopteri, Cypriniformes, Cyprinidae. The transcript has 8 exons. The record is from RefSeq and is a predicted model, not a curated record.
CACGUGACCUCGUCAGUUAUCGCGGGCGCCAUUAUGUGGUGGAGUCCAGUCUAUGGUGGAAUGCUGUAGAAUUGGUUUUUACAAGAGCUCAUUAAAUAGCAAUCCUAUACUUGGGUUAUAGUCUACUUUUUCACAUGGUUUACAAGAGCAAUAAACAGCAUCCCAUGCUUGGGUUUUAGUAAACUUUUUCAUGUGAACAACAGCGUAGACAUGGAAAGAGAAUGCAUCCUCAAAAAGCACUGUGUGUAUACUUAAAGGAGGACCAUCUACAGCUGUUCAAGGAGUACAAUAAAACGUGCAAAUACUGAGUUCUCUUUCAAGUCUUGUGCUUCAGAGGCCAAAUUCGUACAAAAAUUAUAUCAACAUGACCGUCUUGGAUUGCGACUGGAUGAAUGCUAAAGAAGCCAUAGAGCAGAUGGUAAUGGGGAUCUACAUCGUCCAAUCCAUAGACGCCAACCAGGAGAUAAACCUGUGGACGUUGGUAUCCUGAUUGAAGGGACCGAGGUUCUCUGCUCUUUGAAGAACGUGUAGCAGUGGCCAUGCUGUUUGGACUUACUUACGCCUUGAACCUCAGCUACCCACAAGAACUCAAGGCUACAUUUGAGGUCAUCCAGAAAGUGUUCUUUAUCUUGGAUGGACAAAAACUUUCACUAAAGGCUAUAGAUGAACUCACAGAACCAGGGAAGGAAAUAAUUUUUUUUCCUCCCAAACCGCCGGGAAAGAUGACAGGGCCAGAUAAGUAUGUAAAAAAAAAAAAAAAAAUGUUUUUUGCAUAUUUGUUGAUGUUAUCAAAACACAUUUUCCUCUUUUACAGACUGUCAAUUGUUCAUGCAGUUGGAAUGCAGGAAUGCAGUUGGAAUUACUUAUUUCCUUUACCCUUACAUUAACAAGCGUGCUUCAAAAUAUUUGAUCUCAUUGGGAACCCAUUAAUAUUGUUUCCUUUUUAGAAUGAUUUAGUCAUUUUUAGAAUUAUUUAUUCAGUAUAAAAUAUGAGUUCUUGACAUCAGAGGAGGCCCUUUGUUCAACGGUUAUCAUUUACUUUCAUCAUUUACUCUCAUGUUGUUCCAAACCUAUAUAUUAUCUGAGAUCGGUGAAACACAAAGGCAGAUACAACAGAUAAAAUGUUUCCUUUUUUUAGGUGAACAAAUCCAUUAAUAUUAACUGCAAACAUCAUGCCAUUAUUUGAACAUCGGAUGAGAUGAGAUGUGCAAAUUUCAACAUAGUUUCCUGUUCAAAUCGAGCCAUGCUUCGGGUAAUAGUUAUACCGUUUGCAGUGGUGGACAGUAAUGGAGUAGCUUUACUUUGUUAGUGUAAUAAAGUAAAUUUUUCAAGUAUCUGUACAUUACUGGAGUAGUUUUAUUUAAAGUAACUUUUACUUCACUACAUUCCAAAGCAUAUGAUCGUACUUUUUACCUCACUACAUUUCAUACAUUUCGUUGCUCCUUAUAAUAUAUCACAUGCUCCAAUCCUGUUUUUAUACAGUCUUUGGCUCCAACACGCAGAAGCGGUGUCUGAUUCAAGAACGAACUGAUUCAGUGAACCUUUCAAAGCUUGUGUCAUGUGGUGCCCCCCUAGUUGUUGUGAAUGGUUGGUCCCCCUGGGCACUGGCCCAAGUGCCCUUAUGGAUAAUCUGGCUCUAAUCGCAGUGUAAGUUUCAUAGUGAAAAUUACUAUAUCACUCUCGUCAACCUCGUCCAUAUCAACAAAAAAAGUAUAUCUUGACUCCAUAUAGUGGUUAUUUUGGGAGAAUCCCAGGUAUUUUGCUAAAUAAAUCUAUCAGUACUUUUUUUACUCGAGUAAUUUUGUACUUUCACUGGAGUGAAAUUGAAAAAGGAGUACUUUUACUGGAGUAAUAGUUUAUUAUAUGGAUCUGUUCUUUUACACAAGUACUUGAUUUGUGUACUUCGUCCAGCACUGACCGUUGGCACCUUCUCAGUCACAUCUCUAAAAUGAAAAGCCUGUUACAUAGUUAAAGCCAAUUUUGUUAGCAAGGAAAUACUUUUAGUCCCACCAAACCACUACAGAAUUUGCAUGUCACCAGGAAACAUGGAAAUGUGAACGUCACAGCGCAAUAAUCUAUUCAAGCAAACAGUAAUAUUGGUUACUCAUUAUGGACUCAUUUAAAACCAUAGAUGUUAAGUUUAAACAGUGACUGGUCCAGUAAAAAGCACAGGACUAGAUGUUUAGUUUCCAGUAGUGCAAAAACAUUUUGAUCAUGUAUUAGAUUGUUAGAGCUAAUCUACUGCCUUUAAAGGGCCACAUAGCAAUUAUCUCGAAAUAUCGUUUUUAUUUAUACAUUGACUACUGCUCAUAGGAAUGGAUUCAAACCUUCCCAUUUACACAACUGUACUUCACCAGUGUGAGUAGCCCUCAAAAUAGAAAUCAAGUCCUUAAAGGGAUACUCCACCCCAAAAUAAAUAUUUUGUCAUUAAUUACUUGCCUCCAUGUCGUUCCAAACCCGUAAAAGCUUAAUUCGUCUCCAGAACACAAUUUAAGAUAUUUUGGAUGAA